CACCGCCUGAUUAGUGGCGAACGGGUGAGUAACACGUGAGUAACCUGCCCUUAACUUACGGGAUAACCUCGGGAAAUCGUGGCUAAUACCGGAUAUGAGCUUCCUGCCGCAUGGUGGGUGUUGGAAAGAUUUAUCGGUGAGGGAUGGACUCGCGGCCUAUCAGUUUGUUGGUGAGGUAAUGGCUCACCAAGGCGAUGACGGGUAGCCGGCCUGAGAGGGCGACCGGCCACACUGGGACUGAGACACGGCCCAGACUCCUACGGGAGGCAGCAGUGGGGAAUAUUGCACAAUGGGCGGAAGCCUGAUGCAGCGACGCCGCGUGAGGGAUGACGGCCUUCGGGUUGUAAACCUCUUUCAGUAGGGAAGAAGCGAGAGUGACGGUACCUGCAGAAGAAGCGCCGGCUAACUACGUGCCAGCAGCCGCGGUAAUACGUAGGGCGCAAGCGUUGUCCGGAAUUAUUGGGCGUAAAGAGCUUGUAGGUGGCUUGUCGCGUCUGCCGUGAAAACCCGAGGCUCAACCUCGGGCGUGCGGUGGGUACGGGCAGGCUAGAGUGUGGUAAGGGGAGACUGGAACUCCUGGUGUAGCGGUGAAAUGCGCAGAUAUCAAGAAGAACACCGAUGGCGAAAGCAGGUCUCUGGGCCAUUACUGACACUGAGAAGCGAAAGCAUGGGGUAGCGAACAGGAUUAGAUACCCUGGGUAAUCCAUGCCCGUAAACGUUUGGGCACUAAGGUGUGGGGGGACAUUUCCACCUUUCUCCCGCGCCCCUAGCUUAACGCAUUUAAAUGCCCCCCCCUGGGGGAGUAACGGGCCGCCAAGGGCUAAAAACUCAAAAGGAAUUUGACGGGGGGGCCCGCUCAAAACGGGCGGAAGCAUGGCUGGAUUUAAUUUCUAUUUCUAUCGCCAAA
Molecule: ribosomal RNA, 907 nt
Filed under: Brachybacterium sp.
Lineage: Bacteria; Bacillati; Actinomycetota; Actinomycetes; Micrococcales; Dermabacteraceae
Description: bacterial SSU rRNA
Rfam family: Bacterial small subunit ribosomal RNA
Source: RNAcentral